GGGAAGCGAGGCUCGCUACCAUACAGUCGACGAGAAGCUAAUUUCUGAUUCCUUCGGGAUGAUGAGGUUAGCAGGAAGUGGCGAACGGGUGAGUAACGCGUGGGUAAUCUACCCUGUAAGUGAGGGAUAACCCUCCGAAAGGAGGGCUAAUACCGCAUAAUAUCUUCUCCUCCUAAGAAGAGAAGAUUAAAGAUGGCCUCUAUACUAUGCUAUCGCUUCAGGAUGAGCCUGUGUCCUAUUAGUUAGUUGGUGGGGUAAUGGCCUACCAAGACCACAAUGGGUAGCCGGUCUGAGAGGAUGUACGGCCACACUGGGACUGAGAUACGGCCCAGACUCCUACGGGAGGCAGCAGUGGGGAAUAUUGCGCAAUGGGGGAAACCCUGACGCAGCGACGCCGCGUGGAUGAUGAAGGCCCUUGGGUUGUAAAAUCCUGUUCUGGGGGGAGAAAGCUUAAAGGUCCAAUAAACCCUUAAGCCUGACGGUACCCCAAGAGAAAGCUCCGGCUAAUUAUGUGCCAGCAGCCGCGGUAAUACAUAAGGAGCAAGCGUUAUCCGGAAUUAUUGGGCGUAAAGAGCCCGUAGGCGGUCUUAAAAGUCAGGUGUGAAAUUAUCAGGCUUAACCUGAUAAGGUCAUCU
RNAcentral lists this ribosomal RNA (635 nucleotides) under uncultured bacterium. Its description in RNAcentral is "bacterial SSU rRNA". It matches the Rfam family "Bacterial small subunit ribosomal RNA", at positions 79 to 628 of the family's 1533-position model. The record is from RNAcentral.